CUUCAGCCUCCAGUUGGCUGCUUUCUGCAAACAAUCAGACUGAUUGCGGGCUACAACUUCAUUUACAUGAGUGCCCUUGGUGGACAGCACCUAAGCAUGGAGACUUCAUGCAAGUUUCUGCCCAGGGUCACUAUCUAGUGAAACUGAAAGGUUUCCACAUGGAAGCACCUGACCGCCACCGCCCAGUUCAGUCUUUCAGCAACAGUUUCCUAGUAGCUCCUGGUAAUUGAGGGAAACUGACCAGGACCGCUCUUUGGCAUUCUCUGAAGACCAAGAAGCAAACAGGGAUAGAUGCCCUGCCUGGAAGGGGAAAAGACUCUUUUCUAUCCUUUCUGGUUAUACUCCCAGAACUCUACGUGUGACACAGUUGGAUGUGGCAGCUCAUCCAGGGCGAAUUCACACACG
RNAcentral lists this long non-coding RNA (405 nucleotides) under Homo sapiens (human). RNAcentral describes it as "HSALNT0328881". The record is from RNAcentral. Lineage: Eukaryota; Metazoa; Chordata; Mammalia; Primates; Hominidae.